UUACUAGAAAGCUACUAACCUGCAAUCCGCUUGAUGGAAAAUAGAUAAUCUGCAAUACACAUGCUGAAUUGCUAAUAAGCUUUUAGCAGUUACACAUUGCUCAUUUAUCUGCAAUACACAUGCCUUCUUUCCCAUGUAAAUUCUAAACUUUGCUCACUACUCUUUCUUUUCAGCAAAAAUCUGGAAUAAUGGAGAAGAAGAAUAAGAUAGUAGAAGAGUGACAGAUUGCUGCAACCACUUAGCUCACGAGAUGACCAUCUAUCUGCACUUGUCUUUCCCUUUGUCCUGCUAAUUUAGUAUCAGGUACUGAAAAUUCUCGUAUUUGGUUGAGAUCUAAACUAGGCAUAAGGUAGUGGAAAUGGAUCCUACGGACAACCAAGACGAGUUAAUGCACGACCUCAUUCGUGAUAGUACUGCGUAUGUAGCUCCAGAGUUUGAUGAGGACGAGAACGAUGGCAGCCAAUUUUUAAACUUGCAUUAUCAUGGCGACGAGGACCAAGAUAUUAGUGGGGAGGAAGAAGAAAAUGUCAAGGAAGCCGAGGUAUAAAAGUUUAGUGAUUCUUUCAGGUAUCAGGAUAA
Panicum virgatum (switchgrass) is the source of this 579-nucleotide long non-coding RNA. RefSeq lists it as uncharacterized. The record is from RefSeq and is a predicted model, not a curated record. The transcript is spliced from 3 exons. Lineage: Eukaryota; Viridiplantae; Streptophyta; Magnoliopsida; Poales; Poaceae.